Molecule: ribosomal RNA, 376 nt
Filed under: uncultured bacterium
Lineage: Bacteria
Description: bacterial SSU rRNA
Rfam family: Bacterial small subunit ribosomal RNA
Source: RNAcentral
UACGUAGGGGGCGAGCGUUGUCCGAAUUUACUGGGCGUAAAGCGCGCGUAGGCGGGCUAUUAAGUUGGUGGUGAAAUUCCGAGGCUCAACUUCGGAACUGCCGCCAAAACUGGUAGCCUUGAGGUAUGGAGAGGAAAGUGGACUUCCUGGUGUAGCGGUGAAAUGCGUAGAUAUCAGGAGGAACACCCAUGGCGAAGGCAGCUUUCUGGCCAUAUCCUGACGCUGAGGUGCGAAAGCCAGGGGAGCGAACGGGAUUAGAUACCCCGGUAGUCCUGGCCGUAAACGAUGGAUACUAGGUGUUAGAGGUAUCGACCCCUCUAGUGCCGAAGCUAACGCAUUAAGUAUCCCGCCUGGGGAGUACGACCGCAAGGUUGAA